RNAcentral lists this ribosomal RNA (391 nucleotides) under uncultured bacterium. RNAcentral's name for it is "bacterial SSU rRNA". It matches the Rfam family "Bacterial small subunit ribosomal RNA", at positions 28 to 419 of the family's 1533-position model. The record is from RNAcentral.
GACGAACGCCGGCGGCGUGCUUAACACAUGCAAGUCGAGCGGUAAGGCCCUUUCGGGGGUACGACGAGCGGCGAACGGGUGAGUAACACGUGGGUGACCUGCCCUCAGCUCUGGGAUAAGCCUGGGAAACUGGGUCUAAUACUGGAUAUGACUCCACGGUGCAUGUCGUGGGGUGGAAAGCCUUGUGCGGCUGAGGAUGGGCCCGCGGCCUAUCAGCUUGUUGGUGGGGUGAUGGCCUACCAAGGCGACGACGGGUAGCCGGCCUGAGAGGGCGACCGGCCACACUGGGACUGAGACACGGCCCAGACUCCUACGGGAGGCAGCAGUGGGGAAUCUUGCGCAAUGGGCGAAAGCCUGACGCAGCGACGCCGCGUGAGGGAUGACGGCCUGG